UACCAGCACCCCGAGUGGUCGGGACGAUUAUUGGGCCUAAAGCAUCCGUAGCCGGUCAUGCAAAUCUUCCGUUAAAUCCAGCCGCUCAACGGUUGGGCUGCGGAGGAUACUACGUGGCUAGGAGGCGGGAGAGGCAAGCGGUACUCAGUGGGUAGGGGUAAAAUCCUUUGAUCCAUUGAAGACCACCAGUGGCGAAGGCGGCUUGCCAGAACGCGCUCGACGGUGAGGGAUGAAAGCUGGGGGAGCAAACCGG
This 253-nucleotide ribosomal RNA is filed under the name uncultured bacterium. Its description in RNAcentral is "partial 16S ribosomal RNA". It matches the Rfam family "Archaeal small subunit ribosomal RNA", at positions 474 to 727 of the family's 1478-position model. The record is from RNAcentral.